AUAUGGCGGCAUCCGACCUUUUUCAUUCUAAUUUGUGCCAGAGAUAGACGUGAGUCGGAGAAGAAAAAAAAUAAUAAAAUAAUGAGACAUCAUCGAUUUCAUGGCAAUUUUAUUGCAGCAAAGUUCGGCUAGUGUUUCAGGCUUAUAAACAAAGUGUAUUUGUGCAGAUAUUUUUAAUGCAAUCCAAACAGAAGCGGAAUAUUCAGGCAUAAGCCUUAAUAAAACAUCGACGCACAAGGUUUUGAAAUGCAACCGCCUCUUGGCGACUCGCUAGACACCAUUUAAAUAGGCAACAUCUAAUUCGCAACAACACCAUCGUGGAUUUGCACAACGCAGCUCAACAAGGAGGACACCAGUUCAUCAGUUAGAGCAUAGCUUUUUCAAUCAAGUAAAAUACCAAAUAGAUUGAGAUAAAAAAGAAAGAAGAAAAUACUGGUAACACCUUUUGAAUGUUACUACUGGUAUUGUGUACCGUGGAAAACCGCAGCAAAUUCUUCCGUGCAGAAAGAAGAGACUUCGAAAAGCUACGUAUUUGUGAAAGCCGGUGGAAGACGCCAAACAUCCAGAAAUAUUCUUUCUGUGGCAUAAGCAUAUUGGAGUCGUGCAAGACUGGAGAAUACGUAUUGUGAAACUUUGAUUUAUUGUUGUUGAUAUAUCGAAAGACCUUAAGCAGUAAUGCUGUUGUUUAUGUAUUAGACCGUGCAGGCCUAAGUCUAAGUGUAGGACUCGUAUGUAAGUGAGGUGACAUCAAGACAAGCGCUAAAACCAAUUGAAAUAUUUACAUGCUACGUGUGUUUAGCAGCAGCAAAAUCACCGACAUCUAAACGAGUGGAUUUUAAUGUGUGUUGUACAGUACAAGGAAACAUAAAUACCCCUAGCAGUAGCUAGUGGAACGAUUUAGUCCCCGGCACAUAUUAGAAUGAAAAAGAGAAAAAUGAAGAAGAAGAAUAACACAUUGUUAUCGAUUACAUACUCAUAUACAGAUCUGAAUAGUAGCUAUGUAUAUCAUCACACAAUUAUUACUUGGAUUUAAACACGCAUCUGAUUAGUAGCUAUAACCACGCACAUACACACAAUUAUUACUUUUGAAUACAUGCACAAAUUUGUUUAGUAGCUAGAUCAGCACACACAAUUAUUACGUAGAUUUAUAAAUGAACUUUUUUAGUAGCUAUUGGGUUGCCCAAAAAGUUAUUGCGGAUUUUUCAUAUAGUCGGCGUUGGCAAAUUUUUUCACAGCUUGUGACUCUGUAAUUACAUUCUUUCUUCUGUCAGUUAUCAGCUGUUACUUUUAGCUUGCUUUAGAAAAAAAGUGUAAAAAAAGUAUAUUUGAUUAAAGUUUUAUUAAAAAUGCAUUUAUUUGCUUUUAAAAAAUCCGCAAUUACUUUUUGGGCAACCCAAUAGAUCAAUCAUAUACCCAUUAUUACACAUUUAUACACCAAUCAUAUACUUACCUAGUAUCUACAAUUAGACCUUUCUCUUUUGUUUAUGGUAUGUUAUCAAACUCUACUUUACAUAACAUACAUGGCAACCGAAUUAAUUUGCUUCUGUGUUAUUUGAUAAUAUGAUUUAAAGUUCGAAGAUAUAUUUUUGUGAGACGAUAAAGCAGAAAUUUUUGCUUUUUUACUGGAUGCGACAAAUGCCGAUUAAGGCGAGUUUUUUAAUUUUUUUUGAAUAAUUUUGGCCUGACCUUUUAUCAGUAAUAUAUUGUUUGGUUAUGGUUAUUUUCAGUGUGACUAUUACUGUCAAGAUCAUACCUAUCACCUCUAAUAUUUAUUAAGGAAGUUAUUACUUUAAGAUUUGUUUUUAUGGAAGCAUAGAUUUCAUAAAAGACAUAAGUUUUUCUGCAUUUUUGAGUGCAGACUCAUGGAAUCGUUUUGAGCGAGCGAAAUUUUGGUUCAAUCAUGUUAAUUUUUGUGGGCUAUGACAUUUUCUAAUUUAUAGCGCUAUAAAUGGGGAUAGUCAGUAACUGAGGGAAAGGGAUACAUGCCUGUAAGCAAAUGAUAUCUUGCAUUAGCAACGCUUAAAAAUCAAAUUUUUUCACCACGGCUACGAAACAACAGAGGUAACACGAAAAAGGAUUACAACGUCACAAUCAUUUCUUCUUUAGCCUCACGUCAAUAUAAAUUUUGUAGGGAUUUUUAGCAGUGUGCUGGUCCAAUUUUAUUCUGACAUAUUACAUGACGACAAUAACAUCGACAAGAGGCCAGUACCAGUAACUAAUAAAACAGUGUUUCACUUGAGAGGCUGAAUUACAACAGACAACAGAUCAACUAUUCCAGACGGAACCGAACAAACGACGACAGUCGAAGGAACGGUGUGGGACGCCAAAUGCAGAGGAUAAAUUCUACAAACAGCGUACGCAUAAAUACCAGGAUACGACUUUGCUAGGACUUGAGUUAUCGGAGUUGCAUUUUUAAUGAGCGCGCAUAGUAUGUUACUUCACCUUUACGUAUUGUAUGUCAUUUAAGGUAAUUUAGAAGAUAUGUCGGUAUUACGCAGCAAUCAGCAAUAAGAGUGUUCGCGUACUCAAAAAUGUGCAUAAAUUUUUACUGAAAAUCGUUGGUUUGCCAGUUAGAGACCGAAAACAUUUGGGGUUGUGUAAAUAAGAGGUUGCAAAAUGCUGGAGAUUUUUCACAGCAGUUCGCGAGCACACGUAAUAUAACGCGGCAAUCGAUAAACAAAAUACAUGUGUUUAUAUAAAUAUUGUGAUUUUUUUUAAUUUAUCGGGACGAAAAGUCACUAACUGACACCCAUCUGCCGGUUUAAGUUUAGGAUCAAUCCCAUGGCCACCGAUUGUAUGUACUGGAUUGACCCGAUGGAGUCCUUCAUCGGCAAGGGCUGCCGCCUCAGUGUACAACACACUUCUACAACCACAACAAGUUUGGAUAAGCAAUAAGCAUAUAUUCAGAAAAACAAAUUCCUUCAAUAAGAGGAAUAUCGAUAAGAUAAAUUGUAACCGGAGAAUGCGAAAGCCGGCCUGAGAGUGAUAGGAAGCAUAUUAAAUCGGGUAUGACCUUGGAUUCGUUCACAGGCUUAUGUGAAAUAUUUGUGAAAUGAGGUGACCCGUAUGAUAGAUUUCACCAAAAAACUGUGAAACCAUUUCACUAAAAAUUUCAUGGUGAAAGCAAUGUGAAUUCCUCCUUAUACUGAAAAUACACCUUACAAUCACAAAACAACUGUUGAAUAACCACGUUUGGGUUGUUUUUUGUGUCAUUAAAUUUUUGGGUUAAAAAAAUCACUUCAGUGUGCGCUAAAUUGAGAUUUAAAAAACAUCUUGCUGGCUAGCAAGAAAGCCGCAGGCAUUUCGAAAUUUCCUAAAAUGUUAAAACAAAUUACAAGCCCAGACAAAACAUAUGUUUUAAUUUUUCGAAAUGUGACAUCGAAAAAAUUAUUUCGUGUAAAUUGGCGGUCACCAAAAUAUUUAUUUGGUGAAACGAAUAUGAAAAGGGAAAGCUAUUUUUGGCGAAACCAAGGUCACACCGGAACAGUCUGGCUUAACAAUGAAGGAAGAAGAAAUUGAAAUUUCAGAGCACGCUUAACUACGUUGAAAAGGAAGGAAAGUAACGCAACGGGCCUAAAAAUGGCAUAUGUAUUGUCACUACAUUUUUUCCUGAUAGGUUUUAUUUUCAAUUAUUAUUAUAUAGAUCAAUAGUUUCACAAACACAAUUGAAAGUGCUACUGCAGAAAUAUCUUUAAACUUUGCACAAUUUACUUUAACAAUUUUGUUCGAUAUUAAAAUGAACAGACAACAAAAAUUGAUACAUGCAAUAUGAAUAUUCCCCUUUUUAA
Long non-coding RNA from Stomoxys calcitrans (stable fly), 3788 nucleotides. RefSeq lists it as uncharacterized. The transcript has 3 exons. The record is from RefSeq and is a predicted model, not a curated record. Lineage: Eukaryota; Metazoa; Arthropoda; Insecta; Diptera; Muscidae.